RNAcentral lists this unclassified non-coding RNA (1153 nucleotides) under Hevea brasiliensis (rubber tree). The record is from RNAcentral. Lineage: Eukaryota; Viridiplantae; Streptophyta; Magnoliopsida; Malpighiales; Euphorbiaceae.
AAAAAAUAAAAAAAAAAAGUAUACUGCAUAUGUAAUUGAACUUGAUGUUGUAAACUUGUAAUAGCACACUAACAGGAUUUCAGGUGUCUUCUUUGUCUAUGCAAGUGAACUGUGAAUGAAUACAAAUUAUCAAAUGGAGAAACUUCAACAGCGCAAAUCUCUUCAAAGAAAAUCCUAUUGAACAUCUUUGCAUAGUUUAAAAUAUCUCCUAUAGAUGUAUAACCCUCUGGCCUCUACUAGAUUGCAUUUGCAAAUUACUAUACAUCACAACAGUAGCAUAUAUCUGCUUAAACCAUCUUGUGAUCUUCUUGAGUAAAGUAGACAUUAUAAUUAAUUAAUCCAACCUUCAUAAGGGAUUUUACACCACUUUAGAAUGUAUGCACCCUUAGCUGUGCUAAUGUUUACAACUGUCUAUAUGGCAUUUAACCAACUUAUUAGAAACCAAAUAAUUGUAGGACAUUCAUGUGUGAUAUGUCAACUAAAUCCAUGUUGGUCAAUUCACUAGCAUUACAUAAAAAUUGGAUUGUAAAAAAUAAGCAUGGAUUGCAUGAAUAUUUAUAUUAAAUGGAAAAGAUGACCAAAACACCAACCCUAUAAAGCAUAAAACAAAAAUGAAAUUUACAGUUAUAGUUUUUGAAGACAAGUGUUGAUAACUUUAGUGCCUAUCAUAUCAACUUGAUUUCAGCAAGUUGGUGUCAUGUAGCAAAAAGUUAGUUUGCCUGACCAUUUGUUAAACACACCUCAAGUUUGCUUGUCGGGCCAGACUAGGGAAUCUUUAUUAUUAAAAUCAUCAAAGGAUGAUGGUCUUCAUAAAACUAUUCAAGCAGCAAGUGUGAAAUUAUUGCGGGGUCACCGUCAAAGUCCUCAGUGUAACCACAAGGAUGCAGGUUCAAGUCUUGAGAGCAAUCACUUUAAAAAUAUCAAAGGUUAGGACAUGCUUCAAACUUUUUGAGGGCCCCACAUCAGAGGCCAAAACUAGAAUACUAGAUGCAGGCCUUCGCAACAGCAAUCGCAAACUAGCUAGAUUCCUAAGUUACAAGUUGAACAUAAAAUUUAUCUGUCAAUACCUAAUCCUUCACUCUAGCUUCUGACAAUAAACCUAUGCUUCUAAGACUCGCAUCCAGCAGAUACCAAAAAUCAGAAAUGUUUUAAU